Molecule: ribosomal RNA, 433 nt
Filed under: uncultured bacterium
Lineage: Bacteria
Description: partial 16S ribosomal RNA
Rfam family: Bacterial small subunit ribosomal RNA
Source: RNAcentral
AACGAACGCUGGCGGCAUGCCUAACACAUGCAAGUCGAACGAGACCUUCGGGUCUAGUGGCGCACGGGUGCGUAACGCGUGGGAACCUGCACUUAGGUUCGGAAUAACUCCCCGAAAGGGGUGCUAAUACCGGAUAAUGUCUUCGGACCAAAGAUUUAUCGCCUUUGGAUGGGCCUGCGUUGGAUUAGCUAGUUGGUAGGGUAAAAGCCUACCAAGGCGACGAUCCUUAGCUGGUCUGAGAGGAUGAUCAGCCACACUGGGACUGAGACACGGCCCAGACUCCUACGGGAGGGAGCAGUGGGGAAUAUUGGACAAUGGGCGAAAGCCUGAUCCAGCAAUGCCGCGUGAGUGAUGAAGGCCUUAGGGUUGUAAAGCUCUUUUACCCGGGAUGAUAAUGACAGUACCGGGAGAAUAAGCACCGGCUAACUCCGUG